This 886-nucleotide ribosomal RNA is filed under the name uncultured Planctomycetota bacterium. RNAcentral describes it as "bacterial SSU rRNA". It matches the Rfam family "Bacterial small subunit ribosomal RNA", at positions 547 to 1428 of the family's 1533-position model. Lineage: Bacteria; Pseudomonadati; Planctomycetota. The record is from RNAcentral.
GUCNUGGGCUUAGGGGUGCGUAGGCGGGUGUGCAAGUGCGUUGUGAAAUCCCACGGCUCAACCGUGGAACUGCGAUGCAAACUGCACGUCUUGAGGUCGACAGGGGCUGCCGGAACUCUAGGUGUAGCGGUGAAAUGCGUAGAUAUCUAGAGGAACGCCAAAGGUGAAGACAGGCAGCUGGGUCGAAUCUGACGCUGAGGCACGAAAGCGUGGGUAGCGAACGGGAUUAGAUACCCCGGUAGUCCACGCCCUAAACGAUGUGCACUGGAUCGUGGAGGUUUUGACGCCAUCACGGUCGCAGCAAAAGUGUUAAGUGCACCGCCUGGGGAGUACGGUCGCAAGAUUAAAACUCAAAGGAAUUGACGGGGGCUCACACAAGCGGUGGAGCAUGUGGCUUAAUUCGAAGCAACGCGAAGAACCUUAUCCUGGGUUUGACAUGUACGGAUUAACUCCUGGAAACAGGAGCCACGCCCUUUGGGUGGAACGUACACAGGUGCUGCAUGGCUGUCGUCAGCUCGUGCUGUGAAGUGUCGGGUUAAGUCCCUUAACGAGCGAAACCCCUAUCACUAGUUGCCAGCGAGUCAAGUCGGGGACUCUAGUGAGACUGCCGGUGUCAAACCGGAGGAAGGUGGGGAUGACGUCAAGUCCUCAUGGCCUUUAUGCCCAGGGCUGCACACGUGCUACAAUGGUGCCUACAGAGCGACGCGAGACCGCAAGGUGGAGCAAAUCGCAAAAAGGGUGCCUCANUUCGGAUUGUGGUCUGCAAUUCGACCACAUGAAGUUGGAAUCGCUAGUAAUCGCGUAUCANCUACGACGCGGUGAAUAAGUUCCUGANCCUUGUACACACCGCCCGUCAAGUCAUGGAAANCCGGUAGUACCCGAAGCC